UCCUCCCUCUGGCUUCGUGCUUAACACAUGCAAGUCGAACGAAAAGGCCCUGCUUUUGUGGGGUGCUCGAGUGGCGAACGGGUGAGUAACACGUGAGUAACCUGCCCUUGACUUUGGGAUAACUUCAGGAAACUGGGGCUAAUACCGGAUAGGAGCUCCUGCUGCAUGGUGGGGGUUGGAAAGUUUCGGCGGUUGGGGAUGGACUCGCGGCUUAUCAGCUUGUUGGUGGGGUAGUGGCUUACCAAGGCUUUGACGGGUAGCCGGCCUGAGAGGGUGACCGGCCACAUUGGGACUGAGAUACGGCCCAGACUCCUACGGGAGGCAGCAGUGGGGAAUAUUGCACAAUGGGCGGAAGCCUGAUGCAGCAACGCCGCGUGCGGGAUGACGGCCUUCGGGUUGUAAACCGCUUUCGCCUGUGACGAAGCGUGAGUGACGGUAAUGGGUAAAGAAGCACCGGCUAACUACGUG
Molecule: ribosomal RNA, 468 nt
Filed under: uncultured bacterium
Lineage: Bacteria
Description: partial 16S ribosomal RNA
Rfam family: Bacterial small subunit ribosomal RNA
Source: RNAcentral